This 240-nucleotide unclassified non-coding RNA is filed under the name soil metagenome. Its description in RNAcentral is "partial contains 5.8S ribosomal RNA, internal transcribed spacer 2, and large subunit ribosomal RNA". The record is from RNAcentral.
AACAAGGCGUACCUGCGGACCUGCGGAGGGAUCAUUAUCCAUCCAAAACCAGCUGCGGUCGCGGCCCCACGCUUACCCGUGGCGGUACGCGCCGCACGUCUGCACCCUUUUUUUACGAGUACCUUCGUUCUCCCUCGGCAGGGCAACCUGCCGUUGGAACCAUACAAAACCUUUUUUUGCAUCUAGCAUUACCUGUUCUGAUACAAACAAUCGUUACAACUUUCAGCAAUGGAUCUCAGA